CGUCCUCUCUACCCGUUGUCUCUAACCGUCCUCUCUCCCCGUCCUCUCUCCCCGUCCUCUCUCCCCGUCCUGUCUACCCGUCCUCUCUCUCCGUCGUCUCCACGUCCUCUCUCCACGUCCUCUCUCCCCGUCCUCUCUACCCGUCCUCUCCCCAUCCUCUCUACCCGCCGGUUCCAGCCAAUCAGCUGCUAAUGUGCAGGAACAGGAGAGGGCUGCGCUGGCAGAUGGCGUCCUGACCUGGAGACCCCGCCCCCUCUUCAGGGUUCAGCAGCGGGCAGAUGACAGGCUCUCCUCCAGAUGUUGGACGGUGCUCCGGUUCCUCCCAGCUGUGUCCGGCUGUCAAAUAGAUCUUUUUUUCUGCACAAAAAACAGGCAGCAAAGAAAAUGAAUUUUCUGCAAAUAACAAACAGAACUGGUACCAAGACUUAAAAACAAUAAAAUAAUUCUCCUUGGUGGAAUCAUAUUUUGUAUUAUUCCCCUUUUUAGGGGACGUUUCUUUUAGCGUUUACAGCGUGAAUAAAGUCAUCGACCAGAACGCCCAGUGCAGGAGAUUAUUCAUUUAUUAUUGUUAUUAUUCCAAAAACACUGAUGCAAAAUUGUAAAGUUUAUUACUCUUUUUAACCUUGACGAAGUCAGCGUAUACCAACUUAAAUUCAUGUCUUUUCACAAUAAAAGGCCUGGACAGCAGCCGAGUAUUUC
Gasterosteus aculeatus aculeatus (three-spined stickleback) is the source of this 699-nucleotide long non-coding RNA. NCBI's taxonomy places the organism in Eukaryota, Metazoa, Chordata, Actinopteri, Perciformes, Gasterosteidae. The record is from Ensembl.